RNAcentral lists this ribosomal RNA (443 nucleotides) under uncultured bacterium. RNAcentral describes it as "partial 16S ribosomal RNA". It matches the Rfam family "Bacterial small subunit ribosomal RNA", at positions 338 to 795 of the family's 1533-position model. The record is from RNAcentral.
CCUACGGGUGGCAGCAGUGGGGAAUAUUGGACCAUGGGGGGAACCCUGAUCCCGCGACGCCGCGUGAGUGAAGAAGUAUUUCGGUAUGUAAAGCUCUAUCAGCAGGGAAGAAAGACAUGACGGUACCUGACUACGAAGCCCCGGCUAACUACGUGCCCGCAGCCGCGGUAAUACGUAGGGGGCAAGCGUUAUCCGGAUUUACUGGGUGUAAAGGGAGCGUAGACGGCGAUGCAAGUCUGAAGUGAAAGGCGGGGGCCCAACCCCCGGACUGCUUUGGAAACUGUAUGGCUGGAGUGCAGGGGAGGUAAGUGGAAUUCCUAGUGUAGCUGUGAAAUGCGUAGAUAGUAGGAGGAACACCAGUGGCGAAGGCGGCUUACUGGACUGUAACUGACGUUGAGGCUCGAAAGCGUGGGGAGCAAACAGGAUUAGAUACCCCUGUAGUC